AUGAAUCUCCUAAGAUGGAAUUGUCGCGGGAUUGGCAACGCCCAGACAAUUCAAGAGCUACGCGAAAUCGCGAUAAAGUUUGCCCCAAAAGUACUCUGUAUUGUCAAAACCCAGAUUAGUGGUAGUAGAGCAGAAAAUCUUAAGAGUACUUUAGGUUAUGACAAUUCUUUUGCUGUUGAUUCUUCUGGUAGGAGUGGAGGUUUAGUAAUGUUUUGGAAUAAUGAAAUAAAGAUUGAGAAUUUGAGUUAUUCUAAGUAUCAUAUGGAUGUGAAAAUCAGUUCGCUCGGAGGCGAGCCAUGGAGACUUUCUUGCUUCUAUGGAGAGGCUCAAACGCACCUGCGUCAUCACACAUGGACCACAAUGAAAAAUCUGUCCAGCCUCCAUGAUAUACCCUGGCUAUGUUUGGGGGAUUUUAACGAGGUUUUGCGACAAGAUGAGCAUGAUGGCAUUGGCACUCAUAGUCAAUCCCAGAUACAGGGUUUUAGAGAUGCAGUGGAUGUUUGUGAUCUCUUAGAUCUUGGCUUCACUGGAAGGAAAUGGACGUACGAGAAAAAGGUGUCAGGAGGCUCCUUUACACGGGUGCGCCUGGAUAGGGCACUCGGGACAGCUGAGUGGUGUUCGUAA
RNAcentral lists this ribosomal RNA (624 nucleotides) under Triticum aestivum (bread wheat). RNAcentral describes it as "partial small subunit ribosomal RNA". Lineage: Eukaryota; Viridiplantae; Streptophyta; Magnoliopsida; Poales; Poaceae. The record is from RNAcentral.